CCUACGGGGGGCACCAGUGGGGAAUAUUGCACAAUGGGCGCAAGCCUGAUGCAGCCAUGCCGCGUGUAUGAAGAAGGCCUUCGGGUUGUAAAGUACUUUCGGCGAGGAGGAAGGCAUUAAGGUUAAUAACCUUAGUGAUUGACGUUACUCGCAGAAGAAGCACCGGCUAACUCCGUGCCAGCAGCCGCGGUAAUACGGAGGGUGCAAGCGUUAAUCGGAAUUACUGGGCGUAAAGCGCACGCAGGCGGUCUGUCAAGUCGGAUGUGAAAUCCCCGGGCUCAACCUGGGAACUGCAUUCGAAACUGGCAGGCCAGAGUCUUGUAGAGGGGGGUAGAAUUCCAGGUGUAGCGGUGAAAUGCGUAGAGAUCUGGAGGAAUACCGGUGGCGAAGGCAGCCCCCUGGACAAAGACUGACGCUCAGGUGCGAAAGCGUGGGGAGCAAACAGGAUUAGAUACCCCUGUAGUC
RNAcentral lists this ribosomal RNA (465 nucleotides) under uncultured bacterium. RNAcentral describes it as "bacterial SSU rRNA". It matches the Rfam family "Bacterial small subunit ribosomal RNA", at positions 338 to 795 of the family's 1533-position model. The record is from RNAcentral.